This 244-nucleotide ribosomal RNA is filed under the name uncultured bacterium. RNAcentral's name for it is "partial 16S ribosomal RNA". It matches the Rfam family "Bacterial small subunit ribosomal RNA", at positions 796 to 1041 of the family's 1533-position model. The record is from RNAcentral.
CACACUGUAAACGAUGUGCACUAGGUGCUGGGGCGGAUGCUUCAGUGCCGGAGCUAACGCGGUAAGUGCACCGCCUGGGGAGUAUGCUCGCAAGGGUGAAACUCAAAGGAAUUGACGGGGGCCCGCACAAGCGGUGGAGCAUGUGGUUUAAUUCGAUGGUACGCGAGGAACCUUACCUGGGUUUGACAUACAGGGGGAUGCGGUAGCGAUAUCGCAGCCUAGCAAUAGGCCCCUGUACAGGUGC